This 1377-nucleotide long non-coding RNA is filed under the name Homo sapiens (human). RNAcentral describes it as "long non-coding RNA NONHSAT242636". Lineage: Eukaryota; Metazoa; Chordata; Mammalia; Primates; Hominidae. The record is from RNAcentral.
UCUUGUUUGAAAUUUUCAGUUCUCUUUAUCUUCCCAGUACCUCUUGGUCCUCAUAAUGGGCAAAGGAUACAACGAAGGCAGGUUGUAUAGGGGUUAUAGUGGGGAAGUGGAUAGGGGAUUCAUUUUCUUAUGUGACAUUUUGCCUUAAGAAUAUAAAAGUGCUUUAGCACUGAUGGCUGGCAUUUUUAAUAUAGGCAGUGAAAGUGACUUUAGAAGCAUGGGAUGAAAUAGAGGGAAGAAGAGUUUUUAUUUUCUGGCCUUUAAAAAGUGCCUAGUAGGUCAUUUGAGACCCAGAGAAAUGCACAGAGCUUGAGCAAAGGCAUGAAGUCCCUGACAUUGUUUUCCUUUUUGUCUCAGCAUAUAGUAUUAAGAUGCCUAGAAAUAGGACUCUAUUGUUCCCUCUUGUAUAGGCACUUUACAUUUCUUGUCACUACAGCAACCACAUACAGUACAGACAACCUCCAAACCUGUUUAUAUUAGUGUAAAUAGAAAAUCUAUAGACAACUUUCUAGUUUUCUCUGGAGGCAUUUUUGGGAAUGUACGUGUAAUAGGCUCUGCUUUGUAUACAGGAGAUAAUACCACAUCAUCGGUUAUCUCCAAACUCCAGUCUUCUCUCAACUGCCCAGUUGUAUGUUGUCAUCAAUCACUUUUUCAAGGCUGGGUAGAGACAAGUUUCUCCUCGUAACUUUGACCUCUCCCACUCUCCAAAUGUAAUCUGGACCUCAUUGCUUUCAAGGUCAGCUUCCCCAUAGCUCAGGUAUCCUUUGCUCUCCUGUAUCUUCAUUUACUAUUAGUGAAGAGAUCUCUGUCCUGGAGGUUAUUCUAAACUUUCUUUGUAACUAUUGUUAUAGACAAUGGUUUCCAAACCAGUGGUUUCUAUGUAGCUUUUCUAGUUCCUUGCUAUCUUCUCACCACUGGCUUGAGGUAGUGAUUUGGACUUUGCUCAUUAGAGAGCAUUAUCAGAGAUGUGGAGUCCAUCAGAAGACCAGCUUGCAGUGUGUAUAGCAUAUAGAUGCCAAUAUUAGAAUUCUUUAAAUUAUAUUUAACAUUUUCAUGCUUCUUAAUUUAACUUCACAUGUUGGGAAGUAGAUUCAGAAAGAUAGGAGAAAUACCCAGACUCUACCACUUCCGUGAGCUACUAGUUAGGCAUGGGCAGGAUUAAGUUUUAUGUGUAUUAUCUUCCCACUACCAAGAAUGGUUAUGUUUCACAGAAUACCAGUUCAGUUUGAUUUGGAAAAAGAUGCCAAACCAAAUUUAUAUGUAGUCUAUAAUCUAAGGGCAUUCUUGAAACUAUUGCCCACAUCCCAUUUUUUUUUUCAUGUUUACUUACAAAACAGAGAUAAACAUUAGAUGUCUAAAGGAGUUAGUAAUGAAAAG